RNAcentral lists this non-coding RNA (23 nucleotides) under Rattus norvegicus (Norway rat). Lineage: Eukaryota; Metazoa; Chordata; Mammalia; Rodentia; Muridae. The record is from RNAcentral.
UUGUUCUAUCUUCUGGCUCCUUC